RNAcentral lists this long non-coding RNA (1645 nucleotides) under Bos indicus x Bos taurus (hybrid cattle). Its description in RNAcentral is "lncRNA (ENSBIXG00005010736.1)". The record is from RNAcentral. Lineage: Eukaryota; Metazoa; Chordata; Mammalia; Artiodactyla; Bovidae.
CGGGGCGGGGCGGGGCAGAGGCGCGCGCCAAUGGGCAGUGGCUGGCUUCGCGCCCCGCGCCAGAUCCGGGAUCGCGUACUCUUGCUACCUGGUGAAGGCGCCGACAGCGCCCAGGCGAGCCUGGGGAAGAGUCGCCAGCGCCACAGACGCUUUCAGGGCAUGAGGACGGCAGUGGGCUUUGUCAAGAUGCAGCCGCCGUGCGAGAGCCCGGCCCUGGCCGGCGUGGCGGCCGUGGCUGCGGCGGACGGCGCCCUGCGCCGCAGCCCCAGCCCGUGUGAGCUGGGGCGCGAGCAGAUGGUGCCUCCGCGGCCAUGGAUGUGGGACCUGCAGGCGCUGCUCACCCUGCGGAGGAAGCGCCGCGCCGCUGGGGGCCGGGGGAGUGGCCGGGUGAAGAUGCCCAGUCAAGCAAGCAGAAGAGUGUUUUCUCCUCUGGCCACCAAGCAGGCACCUUCUGCUUCAGGCCAUAGGAGUGCUUGCAGCCACUUCUUGCUCAGGGAUUCCACCCACACAGUGUCAAGAACCUGGAGAUGCCAUGGUGGCCCAUGCUACACGGUCACCGGCACUGUACCCUGGCCAUCCACAUGGUGUACCAGGACUGGAAAGACUCGGUCUAGUGGGAGCUGCUGGAGCGGAGGCUCAGAAUGAGCCCACCCAGAUCCAGGCCUUGCUGGGGAAAAGUUCGGCCAUGGAGUGAUCGUGGGUUAAGUGACACCCUGCCCCCUGAUGCCCACAUGGGCCCUGGCACUGCCCUGAAUCUCAGCUGGGUUGUACUUGUUUGUUUUCUGUUGAACUAGUUGGUGGGGUUGGGCGUGGGGGCUGAGGUUUCUUCAGAGGGACAGCAAGGGUCCAUGGGCUGGGAACUGGUGGCACAAGGUGCCUGAUCACCACUCUGGGCCUCAGUCCCCUUUUGUGCUUGAGGCAGAGGCGCGUCUAGGACUGCACAUGGCACUUGUCUGUGUGUAUGUGUGUGUCCCCACAUGUGUGUCUGUGUGCCUGGAAGAGACCAUGAGAAGCAGUAAAGCACCCAGCCUGGGUUCCAUACCCACAUUGCCUGAAGCUGGGCCUGAGCAAGUCCCCUGACUCCCCAGGGGUGAGGCCCCACAGCAACACCUGUCUGCUGGUAAAUCCCUUGGAGACCUGAUGUCUGCUGGCCCCCGCUGGGGCCCUCAUGCUCUGUCCCUGUGGCCUGCAGUGGGCAGACUGAAAGCUGCCCAUGUCCUGGUGGGUUCCUGGAGCACCAGGCCUCUCCCUUUCAUUUCACUCCCUCCCUCGCUUGGUCUCGCCCCAAGUUCCCUUUGCCGAGGUGAGCCCUCAGCCAGAGGACCCAGUUCACCUCAGGUUCCCUCCAUGAUACAGUCUUAGUCUCAAGAAGGUGCAACUUUGAAUGACCUUGUUCUCAUUCUGUGUCCUGUCUUUGCACACAGGUCUUGUGGUCAUUGGGGGCACUUUGCUGUGCCUAGAAAACCCAGGUCCCAACCAGGUGCAGGAGCUGGAGAAUCAAGCCCUGCUACCCGACCUGCAACAGAAGUACAUGACUGCGCUGGCCAACCCCCGCUGGCUGCUGCAGCCCAUCCCUGGAAGAGGCAGGAAGGACAUCUUCCAGGUGGACAUCCCCCAGCACCUGAUCCUCUUUGGGCAGGAGGCC